This 1405-nucleotide ribosomal RNA is filed under the name metagenome. RNAcentral describes it as "bacterial SSU rRNA". It matches the Rfam family "Bacterial small subunit ribosomal RNA". The record is from RNAcentral.
UGAGUAAUACGUAGGUAAUCUUUCCUUGAGCGGGGGAUAACGAUUCGAAAGGAUCGCUAAUACCGUAUAAGUUCCAAUGGACUUUGGUCUGUUGGAGGAAAGUUAGGUAGUAAUAUCCGGUACUCGAGGAGGAGCCUGCGUUGCAUCAGCUAGUUGGUGGGGUAAUGGCCUACCAAGGUGAAGAUGCGUAGCUGGUCUGAGAGGAUGAUCAGCCACACUGGGACUGAGAUAUGGCCCAGACUCCUAUGGGAGGUAGUAGUGGGGAAUAUUGGAUAAUGGGCGUAAGCCUGAUCCAGCCACGCCGCGUGAGUGAUGAAGGCCUUUGGGUCGUAAAGCUCUGUGGGGAGGGACGAAUUGCUGAUGGUGUAUAGCCAGCAGCAUGAUGGUACCUCCUUAGCAAGCACCGGUUAACUUCGUGCCAGUAGUUGUGGUAAUACGAAGGGUGCAAACGUUGCUCGGAAUUAUUGGGCGUAAAGCGCACGUAGGCGGCUUAGCAAGUCGGAAGUGAAAUUCCUUGGUUUAACCAAGGAAGUGCUUUCGAAAUUGCUGAGCUUGAGUAUUUAAGAGGAUCGCGGAAUUCCCGGUGUAGAGGUGAAAUUUGUAGAUAUCGGGAGGAAUACCAGUGGUGAAGGUGGCGAUCUGGGAAGAUACUGACGCUGAGGUGCGAAAGCGUGGGGAGUAAACAGGAUUAGAUAUCCUGGUAGUCCAUGUUGUAAAUGAUGAGUGCUAGGUGCUGUGGGUAUUGAUUCCCGCGGUGCCGCAGUUAAUGCGUUAAGCACUCCGCCUGGGGAGUAUGGCCGUAAGGCUAAAACUCAAAGGAAUUGACGGGGGCCCGUACAAGCGGUGGAGCAUGUGGUUCAAUUUGACUAUGCGUAGAACCUUACCUGGGUUAAAUCCACCAGAACCUUGCAGAGAUGCAGGGGUGCCCUUCGGGGAACUGGUGAGAAGGUGCUGUAUGGCUGUCGUCAGCUCGUGUCGUGAGAUGUUGGGUUAAGUCCCGCAACGAGCGUAAUCUUUGUCGUUAGUUGCCAGUUUUAAGUGGGGUAUUCUAACGAGACUGUCGACGUUAAGUCGGAGGAAGGUGGAGAUGACGUCAAGUUUUUAUGGCCCUUAUGCCCAGGGUUAUACACGUGCUACAAUGGCCGGUAUAAAGGGAUGCAAAGCCGUGAGGUGGAGCUAAUCCCAAAAAACCGUCCUCAGUUUGGAUUGUAGUCUGUAAUUUGACUACAUGAAGCUGGAAUCGCUAGUAAUCGGAGAUUAGUAUGCUCCGGUGAAUAUGUUCUCGGGCCUUGUAUAUACCGCCCGUCACACCAUGGGAGUCAGUUGCUCUAGAAGUCGGUGUGCCAAUUUUGGAGGCAGCCGCCUAAAGAGUGACUGGUGACUGGGGUGAAGUCGAAAUAAGGUA